Molecule: ribosomal RNA, 388 nt
Filed under: uncultured bacterium
Lineage: Bacteria
Description: bacterial SSU rRNA
Rfam family: Bacterial small subunit ribosomal RNA
Source: RNAcentral
GACGAACGCUGGCGGCGUGCUUAACACAUGCAAGUCGAGCGGUAAGGCCCUUUCGGGGGUACACGAGCGGCGAACGGGUGAGUAACACGUGGGUGACCUGCCCUCAGCUCUGGGAUAAGCCUGGGAAACCGGGUCUAAUACCGGAUAUGACUCCAUGACGCAUGUUGUGGGGUGGAAAGCCUUGUGCGGCUGAGGAUGGGCCCGCGGCCUAUCAGCUUGUUGGUGGGGUGAUGGCCUACCAAGGCGACGACGGGUAGCCGGCCUGAGAGGGCGACCGGCCACACUGGGACUGAGACACGGCCCAGACUCCUACGGGAGGCUGCAGUGGGGAAUCUUGCGCAAUGGGCGAAAGCCUGACGCAGCGACGCCGCGUGGAGGGAUGACGGCC